Molecule: long non-coding RNA, 289 nt
Organism: Alligator sinensis (Chinese alligator)
Lineage: Eukaryota; Metazoa; Chordata; Crocodylia; Alligatoridae
Exons: 3
Source: RefSeq, a predicted model, not a curated record
AGCUUAUUUACAUGGAUUACUAUUCUCUACCAACAGCUGAAAGCUAAUCACUUUUUGAUUCUACUUCUGGUUUGGUCUACUGCCAUAUCCCAUAGACACAUAUUAAAGAGAUUGUUUCAACUGUACCUGCCAUAUUUACAAACAAAGAGAGACACGUAUUGAGAUUACAACAGUCCCCACGGAGACACUGAGCAUCACCUUGCUGGACCAAACGGAUGGCACCGAGACAAUAAAUCAGGUUGUGCUAACACAGUAUGCCAACAUGCUCAGCAAAGCCAAACAUUUGUUG